This 397-nucleotide ribosomal RNA is filed under the name uncultured bacterium. Its description in RNAcentral is "partial 16S ribosomal RNA". It matches the Rfam family "Bacterial small subunit ribosomal RNA", at positions 360 to 774 of the family's 1533-position model. The record is from RNAcentral.
AAUCUUGCGCAAUGGGCGAAAGCCUGACGCAGCCAUGCCGCGUGAAUGAUGAAGGUCUUAGGAUUGUAAAAUUCUUUCAACGGGGACGAUAAUGACGGUACCCGGGGAAGAAGACCCUGCUAACCUCGUGUCAGCAGACGCGGUAACACGCAGGGGGCUAGCGUUGCUCGGAAUUACUGGGCGUAAAGCGCGCGUAGGCGGACAUUUAAGUCAGGGGUGAAAUCCCAGAGCUCAACUCUGGAACUGCCUUUGAUACUGGGUGUCUUGAGUGUGAGAGAGGUAUGUGGAACUCCGAGUGUAGAGGUGAAAUUCGUAGAUAUUCGGAAGAACACCAGUGGCGAAGGCGACAUACUGGCUCAUUACUGACGCUGAGGCGCGAAAGCGUGGGGAGCAAACA